ACACCUGUUGCUAGGGUGCAUUGUAGUUGCAUUGCAUGUGCAACACAGAAGUGCAAUGUAACUGCAGUGCAGCCCAGAGGCAGGAAC
RNAcentral lists this microRNA precursor (87 nucleotides) under Branchiostoma floridae (Florida lancelet). Its description in RNAcentral is "microRNA bfl-mir-33 precursor (bfl-mir-33-2)". Its record names the gene bfl-mir-33-2. The stretch from base 11 to 77 matches the Rfam family "mir-33 microRNA precursor family". The record is from miRBase by way of RNAcentral. Lineage: Eukaryota; Metazoa; Chordata; Leptocardii; Amphioxiformes; Branchiostomatidae.